This is a non-coding RNA of Nicotiana attenuata, 131 nucleotides long. The record is from Rfam. NCBI's taxonomy places the organism in Eukaryota, Viridiplantae, Streptophyta, Magnoliopsida, Solanales, Solanaceae.
GCCUCUUCGUCGAAGAGGUAGGGAUGCAGAGACAACCAGGAGGUUUGUCUAGAAGCAGCCACCCUUGAAAGAGUGUGUAAUAGCUCACUUAUAGAAUGCUCUUGCACCGAAGAUGAACGAGACUAAGCGGC